UAUACUAUACUUUAAAUUUAUUGCCGAAAUUAAUAUAAUUUAAUAGAAAAUUACUAGUUAGUAUGUGUAUCAAGUACUCGGUGUAAACUAGGCCAUAGCCUUUAUAUAGCUACUUCCGUCACCAAUCGUUGCGCCAAAUGCUCCCUCCUGUGUCUUUUUACUCAUUGGAGCCAUGCGAGGAUCGCAUGUGCUAGGGCCGUAUUGUGAUUUAUUCCGAUUUCGCGUCUUAUUCUAUUCGCACAAUGUUUAUUAGAAAUUUAGCCAUGGCGAUUUAUGAUUGAGUUUAGUAUACUAAAUAACUGUGAGAUCGUGAAAUUAAAAAAAUCUCUCCUACUUCCGGGAUUUUAUUUUCUAAGAUGAUUCGAACGUCUGAGUUUCCGUCCCAAUAGAUGCACAGUUUACUAAUAGGCAACUUGAUCAACCGCUUUGGAACGUGAGUUAGUUUUAACUAAUCCCUCGGUUUCAGCAUUCUCGAACUUGACCUGCCUCUUCCCCUUCUUAUUGUCCCGUUCCCUAUUCACCGUCUCCCUUACUAGCGUCUCAUCGACGUUUCCACCGAGGGUAGAAUAGGGUCAGAGUCGUGUCAGAGUCGGGUUAGCUCGUCUGUUUCCACCGGAUCAAUAUUAUGUAGGGUUGCAGCGGGGUUGUGACAAGGUUGAAAAGAACAGCCAAUGUUGAAUGUUUGUUCCAAACUGCAUCUGUACGAUAAAUGAUAUGAAAAUAAAUAUAAAAAAUAAUUCAUUCAUGUACUAGAAAUAAAAACAUAGUUACAUACUUGA
Long non-coding RNA from Solenopsis invicta (red fire ant), 779 nucleotides. RefSeq lists it as uncharacterized. NCBI's taxonomy places the organism in Eukaryota, Metazoa, Arthropoda, Insecta, Hymenoptera, Formicidae. The transcript is spliced from 2 exons. The record is from RefSeq and is a predicted model, not a curated record.